AGCGUUGCUCGGAAUCACUGGGCGUAAAGCGCACGUAGGCGGCUUUUUAAGUCAGGGGUGAAAUCCUGGAGCUCAACUCCAGAACUGCCUUUGAUACUGAGAAGCUCGAGUCCGGGAGAGGUGAGUGGAACUGCGAGUGUAG
RNAcentral lists this ribosomal RNA (142 nucleotides) under uncultured Alphaproteobacteria bacterium. Its description in RNAcentral is "partial 16S ribosomal RNA". It matches the Rfam family "Bacterial small subunit ribosomal RNA", at positions 537 to 678 of the family's 1533-position model. The record is from RNAcentral. Lineage: Bacteria; Pseudomonadati; Pseudomonadota; Alphaproteobacteria.